Molecule: unclassified non-coding RNA, 520 nt
Filed under: uncultured Glomus
Lineage: Eukaryota; Fungi; Glomeromycota; Glomeromycetes; Glomerales; Glomeraceae
Description: SSU rRNA
Rfam family: Eukaryotic small subunit ribosomal RNA
Source: RNAcentral
AGCAGCCGCGGUAAUUCCAGCUCCAAUAGCGUAUAUUAAAGUUGUUGCAGUUAAAAAGCUCGUAGUUGAAUUUCGGGAUCAAUUGAUCAGUCGUGCCUCUGGUACGCACUGGUUUUAUUGGUUUCUCCCUUCUGACGAACCAGGAUGUCAUUAAUUUGGUGUCUUGGAGAAUCAGGACUGUUACUUUGAAAAAAUUAGAGUGUUUAAAGCAGGCUAACGCUUGAAUACAUUAGCAUGGAAUAAUGAAAUAGGACGUUUGAUCCUAUUUUGUUGGUUUCUAGGAUCGACGUAAUGAUUAAUAGGGAUAGUUGGGGGCAUUAGUAUUCAAUUGUCAGAGGUGAAAUUCUUGGAUUUAUUGAAGACUAACUACUGCGAAAGCAUUUGCCAAGGAUGUUUUCAUUAAUCAAGAACGAAAGUUAGGGGAUCGAAGACGAUCAGAUACCGUCGUAGUCUUAACCAUAAACUAUGCCGACUAGGGAUCGGAUGAUGUUAAUUUUUUAAUGACUCAUUCGGCGCCUUA